AUUGAACGCUGGCGGAAUGCUUUACACAUGCAAGUCGAGCGGCAGCGCGGGGGCAACCCUGGCGGCGAGCGGCGAACGGGUGAGUAACAUAUCGGAACGUACCCUGUCGUGGGGGAUAACUAUCCGAAAGGAUAGCUAAUACCGCAUACGACCUGAGGGUGAAAGCGGGGGACCGCAAGGCCUCGCGCGAUAGGAGCGGCCGAUAUCGGAUUAGCUAGUUGGUGAGGUAAAGGCUCACCAAGGCGACGAUCCGUAGCGGGUCUGAGAGGACGACCCGCCACACUGGAACUGAGACACGGUCCAGACUCCUACGGGAGGCAGCAGUGGGGGAAUUUUUGGACAAUGGGGGCGAA
This 353-nucleotide ribosomal RNA is filed under the name uncultured bacterium. RNAcentral's name for it is "bacterial SSU rRNA". It matches the Rfam family "Bacterial small subunit ribosomal RNA", at positions 29 to 381 of the family's 1533-position model. The record is from RNAcentral.